This is a long non-coding RNA of Mus musculus (house mouse), 650 nucleotides long. RefSeq annotates it as predicted gene, 34544. The record is from RefSeq and is a predicted model, not a curated record. The transcript has 3 exons. NCBI's taxonomy places the organism in Eukaryota, Metazoa, Chordata, Mammalia, Rodentia, Muridae.
AAAUUCAAAUGGCUGUGACAGCAGUGAACCGGAUCCUGGGAUGAAACGUUGGGAGAUUUUGUCGUGUCUCAGUGGCUAUGCCUUGUGGGAAGCUCUUCCUGACAAUUCAGACCUAAGAUGUCGGUGCCGAUUGAUGACGGCGUCUUUGUGCACCAGCCCUUCCUUUCCCAAUUUACUCCACCAGGGUGUGGUCAAGACAGAAUGGGAUAAGACCUAUGAUGUGUAUGGUGUUCAGUUUUCUACAUCAAGUCAUAGACCUGAGGUUUCAGCCCCUGAUGCUUAUGGCCUGUGCCCAGGUAGCUCCUCAGGACAUGCUGUGUGUGAAAGUGAAGCCAGUCACUUCUUGACUAUGAUAUAAAGGAAGGAGCCAUGGUCCCACUAACCUCCUGGAAGGUAUAUCCACAGUGAUCUAAAGACUACCUACUAGGCCUUGCUUCUAAAGAGCCCUAUAGUCUCUCAGUGUGACCUGAGAAUUUAGUUUUUAGCACAUGGACCUUUAAUGGAGACAGUCCAGACACAGUGUGCUUAGCAUAGGGAAGCUGCAACCAAUGUGACUGCAUUAGGUGGGUUUUUAUUGCUAUGAUAAAGAUCAUGACCAAACAUAACAUGAGGAGGAAAGGACUUACUUCUUUUUCCAGCUUAUGAUGUCU